CACCACAGUAUCAAGCAAUUCUAUAUAUCUAUAGAACUCUUUAUGUUAAAACUAGUAACAAGAAGAUUCAACUUCUCUUUAAUGCAAGUAUACAUCAGACAGGACAAACCACUGAUAUUUAACAUUCAUGAUCUGACAGUAGAAACGCUUCAAGAAAACUCUACUAAACUUUAUGUUAACCUAACACCAGAGCAUUACAAGAAAGAUUAAAAGAAAGGGAAGGAACUCGGCAAAUUUUAACCCCGCCUGUUACCAAAAACAUCGCCUCUUGCACACCUAUAAGAGGUCCAGCCUGCCCAGUGACUCUGUUCAACGGCCGCGGUAUCCUAACCGUGCGAAGGUAGCGUAAUCACUUGUUCUUUAAAUGAGGACUAGUAUGAAUGGCACCACGAAGGUUAUACUGUCUCCUCUCUCUAAUCAGUGAAACUAAUCUCCCCGUGAAGAAGCGGGGAUAAACAUAUAAGACGAGAAGACCCUAUGGAGCUUUAAACUAAGAAUCAAUUGCCUUUCCCCAUCUUCAAAUUUCAGAAAACUAACUUUUACCAAGACACUCUGAUUUCUAGUUUUAGGUUGGGGUGACCACGGAGUAAAAACUAACCUCCGCAAUGAACAGGGAUCUUCCCUUAGCCAAGGGCCACAACCCUAAAAAUCAACAAAUUGACAUCAAUUGACCCAAAAAAUUUGAUCAAUGAACCAAGUUACCCUAGGGAUAACAGCGCAAUCCACUUCAAGAGCUCCUAUCGACAAGUGGGUUUACGACCUCGAUGUUGGAUCAGGGUAUCCCAGUGGUGCAGCCGCUACUAACGGUUCGUUUGUUCAACGAUU
This 825-nucleotide ribosomal RNA is filed under the name Leptodactylus knudseni (Knudsen's thin-toed frog). Its description in RNAcentral is "partial 16S ribosomal RNA". It matches the Rfam family "Bacterial large subunit ribosomal RNA", at positions 1474 to 2589 of the family's 2925-position model. Lineage: Eukaryota; Metazoa; Chordata; Amphibia; Anura; Leptodactylidae. The record is from RNAcentral.